RNAcentral lists this small nuclear RNA (78 nucleotides) under Choloepus hoffmanni (Hoffmann's two-fingered sloth). Lineage: Eukaryota; Metazoa; Chordata; Mammalia; Pilosa; Megalonychidae. The record is from RNAcentral.
GUUGGAACGAUACAGAGAACAUUAGCGUGGCCCCUGUGCAAGGAUGACAUGCAAAUUCAUGAAGCAUUCCAUAUUUUU